AGCCGGAACCCUGGCAUCUAUUCCCACAUGGGAGAACCAUUGGAGUGAAAUGAAGCAUGGAUUUUGAACAAUAGGGACAUUUGGAUGAUUUGUUUUGGGCUCUCCACUAUGUCUGAUUUGGUUAAAAUCAACCCAAAGGACCAAAAGCCCUUCAUUUGGAAGCAGCAAGAAGGGGGUUUUUCACAAUCUCAACGAACUGCUUCAGUGUCCGAGUUCCACUUCAUAGAAACAUUGCUUGGUGCAUGCGAACCUCUAGGUAAAGAUGGAGCUCUACGAAUCUCUUAAAAUAUUAAUUUUGACAAAUACUUACUGAACUCAAGCAUCACCCUGUGCAAUAGGCAUUAUUUUUCUAGGUCCUGAAGAAGGCUAAAACCUAAGAAAAUGGGGAUCUAUAAGAGAAGAAAAGACAGGAGUGUCCAGACACGGAAAAGGAAGAAUCAUUCUUUCAUCACGGCACUGUGUGGCAGUCCCUGAGAGAGGAUCCGAGGCUGUCAUCAUGUAAACAGAGCGAUUGAUUCUCCUGCCGAGCAACUUACUUCUGCCGUUCUCCAGCAGCUGCAGAAUCUCACAACAAAUAUUAAUGACUUCUGGACUAUUUUUUUUUGCAGUUGGACUAUUUUAAAUUAGGGGUGGAGAGAAAAGAAUAUGAGGGGAAUAAAGCUCUAGUUUUUUUUACCUCCCUAGCGUGUCCUCAGAGCUUAAUAACUAACAAGACCUCCAGUUUUAGCAUCACCUGCUGAUGCUGUCAGUUGUGAAAAUUUUUGUAUUUCCCAGGAACUGAAGAGCACUGUCCGUGUUGUCAGUGCUGAAACAAGGCCCCAGCAAGCUGUCCAUUCUUUUGUGCCUUCACAAAUCUUAGGAGGAGUUUUAGCCUCUGCCACUUGUUACUUUGCAGUGAGUCAGGAAUAUGAGAAUCCCUGGCACUUUGGAGAUUUAAUUCAAACAAUUGAGUUUGACUUAAGAGUUGCCAGUCUCUCUUGGAGGCGCUGCUACCAUUAUCAACACCUCCGAAGACUCAGAGCUGGGUUCCUAUAAUAUUUUCCAGAGGGCCAAGUAAUAUGCCAGUGCAAUCGAGAUUGCUACUCCAAGUAGUAAGAAUAAGCUGUCAUUAUUUUUUGAGCAUUCCCCUCACUCUGACACAAUACAGCUUUGUAAGUUGAACUCAUUGGUAAGUGGGCACUACUUUUGAGAUUUUUUCUGAAGCUCUCAUUACAUAAAACAUUUAUUUUUACUGCUUCAGGGAAUAACAUUGAAGUCAUCAGCUGUAGCCUCGGCAUGUGUGCCAAAUUCCGGACCGUCCUAGGAGACUGGGAGGAACGAUGGAGGGUGGGGCACAAGCAGGUUUACAGUUGUCCAUAUGGAGAAUACUGCAACAAUUAAUAAAUAAUAACACCAGAAUAAACUCUGUUUUUACUCACAACUGUAAACAUGCUUUUUAAAAUAAAAUAAAAUUGUGUUUUUAUUUGCUCAGAAUGUUUAUCUUUAAACUUAGCUGGAAUUAAAAAUGAUCUGUGUGCCAAUAAAGUUAACAUCCAAAACUGUGAAAU
This is a long non-coding RNA of Phyllostomus hastatus (greater spear-nosed bat), 1547 nucleotides long. RefSeq lists it as uncharacterized. The transcript has 3 exons. NCBI's taxonomy places the organism in Eukaryota, Metazoa, Chordata, Mammalia, Chiroptera, Phyllostomidae. The record is from RefSeq and is a predicted model, not a curated record.